AGCGUAGGCGGACAUUUAAGUCAGGGGUGAAAUCCCGGGGCUCAACCUCGGAAUUGCCUUUGAUACUGGGUGUCUUGAGUAUGAGAGAGGUGUGUGGAACUCCGAGUGUAGAGGUGAAAUUCGUAGAUAUUCGGAGGAACACCAGUGGCGAAGGCGGCUUACUGGUCCAUUACUGACGCUGAGGUGCGAAAGCGUGGGGAGCAAACA
Molecule: ribosomal RNA, 207 nt
Filed under: uncultured bacterium
Lineage: Bacteria
Description: partial 16S ribosomal RNA
Rfam family: Bacterial small subunit ribosomal RNA
Source: RNAcentral